Oncorhynchus tshawytscha (Chinook salmon) is the source of this 469-nucleotide long non-coding RNA. Lineage: Eukaryota; Metazoa; Chordata; Actinopteri; Salmoniformes; Salmonidae. The record is from Ensembl.
GGGGUACCAGUACAGAGUCAAUGUGGAGGCUAUAUACAGGUGGUACUGGUACAGAGUCAAUGUGGAGGCUAUAUACAGGUGGUACCAUUACAGAGACAAUGUGGAGGCUAUAUACAGGUGGUACCAGUACAGAGUCAAUGUGGAGGCUAUAUACAGGGGGUACCGGUACAGAGUCAAUGUGGAGGCUAUAUACAGGGGGUACCGGUACAGAGUCAAUGUGGAGGCUAUAUACAGGUGGUACCGGUACAGAGUCAAUGUGGAGGCUAUAUACAGGAGGUACCGGUACAGAGUCAAUGUGGAGGCUAUAUACAGGUGGUACCGGUACAGAGUCAAUGUGGAGGCUAGAUACAUGUGGUACCGGUACAGAGUCAAUGUGGAGGCUAUAUACAGGUGGUACCAGUACAGAGUCAAUGUGGAGGCUAUAUACAGGUGGUACCAGUACAUAGUCAAUGUGGAGGCUAGAUACAGG